RNAcentral lists this ribosomal RNA (1313 nucleotides) under Sinomicrurus macclellandi (MacClellands coral snake). RNAcentral's name for it is "partial 16S ribosomal RNA". It matches the Rfam family "Bacterial large subunit ribosomal RNA", at positions 435 to 2606 of the family's 2925-position model. The record is from RNAcentral. Lineage: Eukaryota; Metazoa; Chordata; Lepidosauria; Squamata; Elapidae.
AGCCAAAAACAUAUAACCUCACAAACAUCUACCUACAUAAAAACAAACCAUUUGACUUACCCAGUAGAGGUGAUCGAACAGUUACACACCACUAAAAAGUACCGCAAGGGAACCAUUCAAGCAACAAAUAGCAAAGAUUAAUCCUUGUACCUUUUGCAUCAUGGUUUAGCAAGCAAAUUCAAGGCAAGAUGAAUCAUAGUCUUAAACCCCGAAACCAGAUGAGCUACCUUAAAGCAGCCUAAAGGGCAAACCCUUCUCUGUAGCAAAAGAGUGGGAAGACUCUCAGGUAGAGGCGAAACACCUAUCGAAUCUGGAGAUAGCUGGCUACCUAAAAAGGAAUCUAAGUUCCACUUUAGAUUAAAACUAACACACAUAUUCGUCUAAAGAAAUUCAAUAGGGGUACAGCCCUAUUGAAACAGGAUACAACCUGAAUUUGAGAGAAUACCACUAACAGACCCCCCCGUAGGCUCUAAAGCAGCCACCCAAUAAAAUAUCGUUAAAGAAUUUAUCAAACUAAUUCAAAGGAAACCCUGAAACUCCAAACAUACUAAAGGUAAUCCUACUCCCGUAGGAUAUCUCCUGCUAAAACUAAUAAUAAGACAGCCUCUCUAUACGCACCCAUCCGCUAGAAACAGAAAAUCUACUAGCCAUUAACAGACCCAACCAGGACAUAACGCUAACCCAUACACACCCCCACCCCCACUGUGACCCCAACACAGGUGCGCUAAAAAGAAAGAUCAAACACUAUAAAAGGAACUCGGCAACCAAAGACCCCAACUGUUUAACAAAAACAUAACCUUUAGCCACAAAACCAGUAUUAAAGGCAACGCCUGCCCAGUGAACAAUUAAACGGCCGCGGUACCCUAACCGUGCAAAGGUAGCAUAAUCAUUUGUCUAUUAAUUGUAGACCUGUAUGAAAGGCAAAAUGAGGGCCUAACUGUCUCUUAUAGUAAAUCAAUUAAACUGAUCUUCCAGUUCAAAAGCUGGAAUAUUAACAUAAGACCAGAAGACCCUGUGAAGCUUAAAUCAAACUAUUAAACCCUAUAAUAGCUCCUUUCGGUUGGGGCGACCUUGGAAAAAAAAAGAACUUCCAAACAAAUAUCCUACAGAUAUCCCACCUAGGCCAACAAGCCUGCAAUGACCCAGCAAAGCUGACAAUUGAACUAAGUUACUCCAGGGAUAACAGCGCUAUCUUCUUUAAGAGCCCAUAUCAAAAAGAAGGUUUACGACCUCGAUGUUGGAUCAGGACAUCCUAAUGGUGCAACCGCUAUUAAGGGUUCGUUUGUUCAACGAUUAACAGUCCUACGUGAUCU